Long non-coding RNA from Eucalyptus grandis, 471 nucleotides. RefSeq lists it as uncharacterized. The transcript is spliced from 2 exons. The record is from RefSeq and is a predicted model, not a curated record. Lineage: Eukaryota; Viridiplantae; Streptophyta; Magnoliopsida; Myrtales; Myrtaceae.
GCUUGCCUGCCAAUCCCAUGGAGCCCCAACUUGUACAUAACACUGGUUAGGAGCAUUCCUGGAACCAGAAGACCUCAUCAGUGUACAUAGGAGGGGUCGCGGCUUCGCAAGUGUAACUGAACUCUUAUGAGAUGGAACUCCCCUACCGUUCAGGGAAUGUUGCGACAAAUAAAGAGGCUAGUUUUAAUUGAAAGAGGAGAUGUUCAAAGCCUGCACAGAGAAGGAGGCAAACCACCGGGCUUUAUGUUGGCCAUUGGUCAUAAGCCAUCUGCCUGCCCCAGAUUGCAGUUCUUAAAAGCAAACGUUGUCCUCUUAGCUCAGAUCCUUAUCUGAUGUUGUUUUGUCGGACAAUGCAGUUUUUAGAUGUGCUAUUGGAUGGAAAUCCAUUGGUUGUAAUAGUUCCAUCAUGAUUUGAGUGGUUUAUCUGAGGAUAUAUUUUGCUGUGGGUUAAUUAAUCGAUCGAUUGCUACA